UGCCAGCAGCCGCGGUAAUACGAAAAAUGCUAGCGUUGUUCGGAAUUACUGAACGUAAAGAGCAUAUAAACGGAUGAAUUAGUCAGAAAUGAAAGCCCCGAGCUCAACUUGGGAGCUGCCUUUGAUACUGUUUAUCUAGAGUCCGAGAGAGGUUAGUGGAAUUCCCAGUGUAGAGGUGAAAUUCGUAGAUAUUGGGAAGAACACCAGUGGCGAAGGCGGCUAACUGGCUCGGUACUGACGCUGAGAUGCGAAAGCGUGGGGAGCAAACAGGAUUAGAUA
Molecule: ribosomal RNA, 279 nt
Filed under: uncultured bacterium
Lineage: Bacteria
Description: partial 16S ribosomal RNA
Rfam family: Bacterial small subunit ribosomal RNA
Source: RNAcentral